UUGGAGGGCAAGUCUGGUGCCAGCAGCCGCGAUAAUUCCAGCUCCAAUAGCGUAUAUUAAAGUUGUUGCAGUUAAAAAGCUCGUAGUUGAACUUCGGGGUCUACCCAUUGGUCAGGCUUAAUUGUCUGCACUGGUGAGAUGGAUCUCUACCUUCUGAGGAACUUUCAUGCCAUUUAUUUGGUGUGAUGGGAAAUCAGGACUGUUACUUUGAAAAAAUUAGAGUGUUUAAAGCAGACUAUCGUCUGAAUACAUUAGCAUGGAAUAAUGAAAUAGGACGGACUGAUUCUAUUUCGUUGGUUUCUAGGAUCACCGUAAUGAUUAAUAGGGAUAGUUGGGGGCAUUAGUAUUCAAUUGUCAGAGGUGAAAUUCUUGGAUUUAUUGAAGACUAACUACUGCGAAAGCAUUUGCCAAGGAUGUUUUCAUUAAUCAAGAACGAAAGUUAGGGGAUCGAAGACGAUCAGAUACCGUCGUAGUCUUAACCAUAAACUAUGCCGACUAGGGAUCGGACGAAGUUAAUUUUAUAAUGACGCGUUCGGCGCCUUACGGGAAAC
Molecule: ribosomal RNA, 551 nt
Filed under: uncultured Glomeromycotina
Lineage: Eukaryota; Fungi; Glomeromycota
Description: SSU rRNA
Rfam family: Eukaryotic small subunit ribosomal RNA
Source: RNAcentral